GUGCUCACUUUGGCAGCAUAUAUACUAACACUGGAAUGAUACAGAGAAGAUUAGCAUGGCCCCUGUGCAAGGAUGACACACAAAUUCAUGAAGCAUUCCAGAUUUUU
This 107-nucleotide small nuclear RNA is filed under the name Vicugna pacos (alpaca). Lineage: Eukaryota; Metazoa; Chordata; Mammalia; Artiodactyla; Camelidae. The record is from RNAcentral.